GACGAACGCUGGCGGCGUGCUUAACACAUGCAAGUCGAACGGAAAGGCCCUGCUUUUGUGGGGUGCUCGAGUGGCGAACGGGUGAGUAACACGUGAGUAACCUGCCCUUGACUUUGGGAUAACUUCAGGAAACUGGGGCUAAUACCGGAUAGGAGCUCCUGCUGCAUGGUGGGGGUUGGAAAGUUUCGGCGGUUGGGGAUGGACUCGCGGCUUAUCAGCUUGUUGGUGGGGUAGUGGCUUACCAAGGCUUUGACGGGUAGCCGGCCUGGGAGGGUGACCGGCCACAUUGGGACUGAGAUACGGCCCAGACUCCUACGGGAGGCAGCAGUGGGGAAUAUUGCACAAUGGGCUGAAGCCUGAUGCAGCAACGCCGCGUGCGGGAUGACGGCCUUCGGGUUGUAAACCGCUUUCGCCUGUGACGAAGCGUGAGUGACGGUAAUGGGUAAAGAAGCACCGGCUAACUACGUG
This 468-nucleotide ribosomal RNA is filed under the name uncultured bacterium. Its description in RNAcentral is "partial 16S ribosomal RNA". It matches the Rfam family "Bacterial small subunit ribosomal RNA", at positions 28 to 507 of the family's 1533-position model. The record is from RNAcentral.